Drosophila elegans is the source of this 347-nucleotide long non-coding RNA. RefSeq lists it as uncharacterized. NCBI's taxonomy places the organism in Eukaryota, Metazoa, Arthropoda, Insecta, Diptera, Drosophilidae. The transcript has 3 exons. The record is from RefSeq and is a predicted model, not a curated record.
UGUCACAACUCAAGACUCUUUUUUAUAACUAAUUGUUUUCAUAAUAAGUUUCUAAAACCUUUGCUCAGACUCCAAAAUAAGAGGCAUUAGGUAGCAGCUUGCCCAAUUCUUCCAAUAUAUUGCGAUCAUUAUAAAGGGAUCAACUGUCAAUCUGAAUUACACUGUUUGGUAUUGUCCGAAUCCGUGGAAUUCCAUUGCUGAGCUGUUAUGGAUGUGACACACGACACACACAUGAGCCCCGUGAUUGAAUGUAUCUAUAUCUACAUAUUUCUUCGAAAAAUGCGACCGCUCCCAUGUUCGCUGCGAUUAAUUAAGUUCAUUGGGUCGGAGCGCACACAUUUAUUUAU